Picea glauca (white spruce) is the source of this 47-nucleotide non-coding RNA. The record is from Rfam. NCBI's taxonomy places the organism in Eukaryota, Viridiplantae, Streptophyta, Pinopsida, Pinales, Pinaceae.
UUAAUGGUGUCUUUAGACACCACCUCCUUCUUAAAAUUACUAUCUCU